CUCAGGAUGAACGCUAGCGACAGGCUUAACACAUGCAAGUCGAGGGGCAGCGAGAAAGUGCUUGCACUUUUGUCGGCGACCGGCGCACGGGUGAGUAACACGUAUGCAACCUGCCCUUGUCAGGGGGAUAAGCGGGGGGAAACCCCCGUCUAAUACCGCGUAUAUGAACCGGAGGCAUCUCCGGGUCAGGAAAGACUUCGGUCGGACAAGGAUGGGCAUGCGGCGCAUUAGCCAGUUGGCGGGGUAACGGCCCACCAAAGCGACGAUGCGUAGGGGUUCUGAGAGGAAGGUCCCCCACAUUGGUACUGAGACACGGACCAAACUCCUACGGGAGGCAGCAGUGAGGAAUAUUGGUCAAUGGGCGAGAGCCUGAACCAGCCAAGCCGCGUGAGGGAAGGCGGUGCAGAGCAUUGUAAACCUCUUUUGUCAGGGAACAAAAGAUGCUACGCGUAGCAUAUCGAGUGUACCUGAAGAAAAAGCAUCGGCUAACUCCGUG
RNAcentral lists this ribosomal RNA (496 nucleotides) under uncultured bacterium. Its description in RNAcentral is "bacterial SSU rRNA". It matches the Rfam family "Bacterial small subunit ribosomal RNA", at positions 23 to 507 of the family's 1533-position model. The record is from RNAcentral.